UACGUAGGGGGCAAGCGUUGUCCGGAAUUAUUGGGCGUAAAGCGCGUGUAGGCGGCCAGAAAAGUCCGCUGUGAAAACUCGAGGCUUAACCUCGAGCUGUCGGCGGAGACCAUCUGGCUAGAGUCCGGAAGAGGAGAAUGGAAUUCCCGGUGUAGCGGUGAAAUGCGCAGAUAUCGGGAAGAACACCCGUGGCGAAGGCGGUUCUCUGGGACGGUACUGACGCUGAGACGCGAAAGCGUGGGGAGCGAACAGG
This 253-nucleotide ribosomal RNA is filed under the name uncultured bacterium. Its description in RNAcentral is "partial 16S ribosomal RNA". It matches the Rfam family "Bacterial small subunit ribosomal RNA", at positions 524 to 776 of the family's 1533-position model. The record is from RNAcentral.